UGGUGUUCUUUGCUAGUUCUGGAGGUAGAGCAUCUGGGGAGGCGUUCAAAGGAAGGCGGUGCCUGUGGCCAGGCAGGCUUGCAGAGGAUCUGCCCCGUGCCGACCAGGGCGCCAGGACCCUGAAAGUCUCGUCCCAAACACCUUUGCACCUAGCCUGUGCUAAUGGACAUACAGAUGUUGUACUUUUCCUAAUUGAGCAACAAUGCAAAAUAAAUGUCCAGGAUAGUGAAAACAAAUCCCCAUUGAUUAAGGCAGUACAGUGUCAAAAUGAGGAUUGUGCUACUAUUCUUCUAAACUGUGGUGCUGACCCAGAUCUGAGGGAUAUUCGUUAUAAUACUGCUCUUCACUAUGCUGUUUGUGGUCAAAGUUUGUCAUUAGUUGAAAAACUGCUUGAAUACGAAGCUGAUAUUGAAGCAAAAAAUAAGGAUGGGUAUACUCCACUAUUAGUUGCCGUUAUUAACAAUGAUCCAAAAAUGGUAAAAUUUCUUCUGGAGAAAGGGGCUGAUGUGAAUGCUUCAGAUAACUAUCAAAGAACAGCCCUUAUUCUUGCUGUCAGUGGUGAACCAGCAUGUUUAGUAAAGCUUCUUCUUCAGCAAGGUGUGGAAUUAUAUUACGAAGGUAUUUGUGGAUUCACAGCCGAGGAAUAUGUUUAUUUCCAUGGUUUUACCGUAUACCCACAAUUCACUGCGAGCUAUGGAAAGAAGAAACAUGCUAAAUAGACACCUUAUUCUUGGCACUACAUGUGACUAAAGGAAGUUUGGAGCUUAUUCUUGGGGACUAUUCUAAGCCUGAGGAACCAACAACCCACGGGCUGGAACUUGCAUCAGGCAAACAAGACACCUGGAACACAAAUUUUAAGGAUAUCCUUACUCUCAGGUGCUGACCCACACUUGCAGGAGCCUGUAAGUACCAGGCUCUUGGAGCCUUUCAUUCUUCAGCAUUUAGAAGGCAGAGUGUCACUCUGGUAACCCAGGAUGAGUGCAGAGGUACAAUCAUGGAUCACUGCAGCCUCAACCUUCUAGGUUAAAUCAAUCCUCCCACCUCAGCCUCCCAAGUAGCUGGGACUAGAGUUGCGCGCCACGCCAUCUGGGUGUAAAACACACAAAUCAAUCCCAAUACUUUGAAGUCAAGAGGAGGAUCCACAAAGAAUUCAAAUAACCUAUUGAAAUUGCAGGAGAAGAUGAGGAAAAUGAAACCCAGAGUGUUCCAGUGAUGGGCCUCGAUUCACUCAGCUUCAAGUCGGCCAGACUCCAAUGUGCAGGCUCAGUCAGUCAGACUUGGUAUUUGUCUUUCUGGAUCAUGCUGGGAUAUGAUUCUCAUUGUGGACAGAAUAACAACAAGAAGACCUUGAGAAUAAGCAUCCGUUUGUGAGCCCCAAGGGCGAAGAAGCUUUCCUGAAGCAACAACAGGAACAGGAAGCAAAAAGGAUUUGAAAUGAAAUAGCAAGGGUCUCACACUGUAACUCAGGCUGGAGUGCAGUGGAGCCAUCUCAACUUACUGCCAGCUCCGCCUCCCGGGUUCAAGAGAGUCUCCUGCCUCAGCCUCAGUAGUAGCUGGGAUUACAGAUAGAGUACCAAAGAUAUAAUUUGAAGAGAGGAAAC
Molecule: small RNA, 1601 nt
Filed under: Pongo abelii (Sumatran orangutan)
Lineage: Eukaryota; Metazoa; Chordata; Mammalia; Primates; Hominidae
Description: processed transcript
Source: RNAcentral